AUUAAUACCUCAUAGUAUAGCAAUUUCGCAUAGAAACCACUAUUAAAGUUCCAACGGUGAAAGAUGAGCAUGCGUCCCAUUAGCUAGAUGGUAAGGUAACGGCUUACCAUGGCUACGAUGGGUAGGGGUCCUGAGAGGGAGAUCCCCCACACUGGUACUGAGACACGGACCAGACUCCUACGGGAGGCAGCAGUGAGGAAUAUUGGUCAAUGGACGCAAGUCUGAACCAGCCAUGCCGCGUGCAGGAUGACGGUCCUAUGGAUUGUAAACUGCUUUUGUACGAGAAGAAACAACAUUACGUGUAAUGUCUUGACGGUAUCGUAAGAAUAAGGAUCGGCUAACUCCGUG
This 348-nucleotide ribosomal RNA is filed under the name uncultured bacterium. RNAcentral's name for it is "bacterial SSU rRNA". It matches the Rfam family "Bacterial small subunit ribosomal RNA", at positions 162 to 507 of the family's 1533-position model. The record is from RNAcentral.